This 301-nucleotide ribosomal RNA is filed under the name uncultured bacterium. RNAcentral's name for it is "partial 16S ribosomal RNA". It matches the Rfam family "Bacterial small subunit ribosomal RNA", at positions 509 to 809 of the family's 1533-position model. The record is from RNAcentral.
CAGUCGCCGCGGUAAUACGGAGGGUGCAAGCGUUAAUCGGAAUUACUGGGCGUAAAGCGCACGCAGGCGGUCUGUCAAGUCAGAUGUGAAAUCCCCGGGCUUAACCUGGGAACUGCAUUUGAAACUGGCAGGCUAGAGUCUUGUAGAGGGGGGUAGAAUUCCAGGUGUAGCGGUGAAAUGCGUAGAGAUCUGGAGGAAUACCGGUGGCGAAGGCGGCCCCCUGGACAAAGACUGACGCUCAGGUGCGAAAGCGUGGGGAGCAAACAGGAUUAGAUACCCGAGUAGUCCCUGUCUCUUAUAA